This 528-nucleotide ribosomal RNA is filed under the name uncultured Actinomycetes bacterium. RNAcentral describes it as "bacterial SSU rRNA". It matches the Rfam family "Bacterial small subunit ribosomal RNA", at positions 8 to 522 of the family's 1533-position model. The record is from RNAcentral. Lineage: Bacteria; Bacillati; Actinomycetota; Actinomycetes.
AGAGUUUGAUCAUGGCUCAGGACGAACGCUGGCGGCGCGCUUAACACAUGCAAGUCGAGCGAGAACCAGGGCUUCGGCCCUGGGGACAGCGGCGAACGGGUGAGUAACACGUGGGUAAUCUGCCCUUGACAUCGGGAUAGCCCGGGGAAACCCGGAUUAAUACCGAAUAGCCUCCGGAGCCUUCGGGCGCCGGAGAAAAGGUAGCUUCGGCCUCUGGUCAAGGAUGAGCCCGCGGCGGAUUAGCUUGUUGGCGGGGUAACGGCUCACCAAGGCGACGAUCCGUAGCUGGUCUGAGAGGACGAUCAGCCACACUGGGACUGAGACACGGCCCAGACUCCUACGGGAGGCAGCAGUGGGGAAUCUUGCGCUAAUGCGGGAAACCGUGACGCAGCGACGCCGCGUGGGGGAAGAAGGCCUUCGGGUUGUAAACCUCUUUCAGGAGGGACGAAGCUACUCGGGUUAAUAGCCCAGAGGGUGACGGUACCUCCAGAAGAAGCCCCGGCUAACUACGUGCCAGCAGCCGCGGUA